This 39089-nucleotide long non-coding RNA is filed under the name Lathyrus oleraceus (garden pea). Its description in RNAcentral is "Pisum sativum (pea) long non-coding RNA (PSAT_LNC029552)". The record is from RNAcentral. Lineage: Eukaryota; Viridiplantae; Streptophyta; Magnoliopsida; Fabales; Fabaceae.
CCCUUUUGUACCACCUUUCUGGAGGGUUCUAUGUUUUGUUGUGGAGACAGCAACAAGUUUUCCCUUGUGGGAGAUAAUCGUAGUUCUUCCUUAUUUUUGGUUGGUUCAUUUGGUUGGUGAUGCUUUUGUUGUGGCUGUGACUGUGAAUGAUGAUGUGUUUGAGGAUGUUGGUGCUGCUGCUCUAGCUCUGAUAGAGAAAGGUGAUGCUUUUGUUGUGGCUGUGACUGUGAAUGAUGAUGUGUUUGAGGAUGUUGGUGCUGCUGCUCUAGCUCUGAUAGAGAAGCCCCCAUUUCAGUUGGUAUGCUAUAUGUUUUUCAUUCGUGCUUGCUUUUAUUUAUAUAUAAAAUUAGAUACUGUUAUUUUAGAAAGUAAUGUAUUCUCUGAUUAGGAACAUUUGCCUCAGACCGUGAGUUGAUGAUCCUUUUGGAAUAUUACAUAUUGUGAGAAUUUUUUUUACUCUGUAGAAAAUUCUCAAGGUGGUGGUUUAUUUAUCAUAAUGACAUAGGAAAUGUAUUUGUUAAAAAACACCAAAAAUAAGUAUGGGUGAUAUUCAUUUUAUCUGAAGUCUAAUUAGAGUAUUAUUAAACCUGCAUUUAUAUCCAUUAAAUAGUGGGUAUUUAAAUAUCCAUUUAUUUUAUCAGCAGAUAUUCAUUAAGUUACCCGCCCCGUAUUCGUGAUAGAUUUUAUUUGGCGCCACCAACGGAUACACAUUUUUUUUGCCAUCCCUAAAUUUUACCUUCUUCGAUCUUGAGAUCAGAUAUGUCCAUAAUAGUUUUUUUCUAAAAUAAUCUUCAUCAUUCUUGUGGACUUAGGUGCCAAAGCUUCCUACGCCACAAAUUAGUUUCUUCAACUUUAGAUAUGAGACAAGAUUGGGGUUUAUUUUCAUAAGUGGGUGACCACAAGUAGCAAUUGUUAGUAGAUCUAGAAUCCUUCAUGAGUUAAGUGUGUUGUUUAUAUGUAAUCGUGCAUUCUUCGCUAUUAAACUUAAUGCUUAAAUCCUGAUCACAUAAUUAACGGAUGAUGAUGAAAUUUUCAAUAAGACUAUCAAUCAACAACACAUCUUUAAGAUAAGGAAGUCCAAGACAAUCUAACUGACCCUUUUCAAUAAUUUAUCAUCUAACACCAUCGUAAAAACUAACAUAAUAGUUGGAAUAGGGUUUGAUAUUCUUUAGAUAGUUCCUUUCAUUAGCCACAUGUCUUUAAUAAUUUCUAUUAAAGUACUAGUUUUCUCUAGAUGAAACCUUGAGAAAGUUGCAAGCAAUAUUAGCUUGAAGCUUAGGCUUGUCACGUUAUAGUUAUUGAGGAUGCCGAUCAGUCUUUAUAUUCCACUAGGGAUAUAGUUGUUUUUAUGUAGAUUUUUACCAUAUAGUUUAUAACAUAAAGGAUGAAUGUGCCCACACCAACCAUAGUAAUAACAAACCCUUAGAGAUUUGACUAAGGUGUUAGUGUGCUACUAAUAAUGUUAGGUAGGUUGUUGUGACAUUAUACCAUACAUCGUAGUUUCUGAUUUAUGUGUAGGAGGAACAAACACAAUAUUUGGGGAUGAUGAUAUGCUAGUAUAUCAAACUUCUUUUUAUUCUUUGCAAGUUUGUCCAUACUUAAAAUGUCAUCAAGUUUAUCAUAUCCAUAAUUUAGCAUGCGCACAUAUUUGGUCAUACCUUCAAGUUUAGAAUUAAGACGCCCAACUUCUUGCUUCAAAUCAUUAAUAGUGAGCAUGGUUCAAUUUUUUUCUUGAAAAAUAGUUUCAAUUCAUACCUUUUUUUGUUAAUCACUUUUGAUUCUUCAUUCCACUUUAAAUAAAGAGUUUGUAUAUGCUUCAUAAAGGGCAUCAAUCGAUAGCUCAUCUUCAUCACUUUCAUUCCCAUUACAAUUAGGAAAUAUAUAAGCAUUAGGUAACUCCGGAUUAGAAAUCUCUUUGAAACGAGUAGUAAGAGCCACAACAUUAUUUGUUUGAUCAAACUCACGUUCUUUGUCAGAUUCAUCAUCUGAAAAGGCGACAUUAUAGUUUUUUCUUUUUUUUAUUAUAAAAUUAGAACAUUCAAAUUUGAUAUGUCCAAAUCCUUCACAUUCACGACAUUGAAUUUCUUUAGCUCUGUUGGGAUCACAGAGUUUUUUAUUUUACCAUAUUUUCCUCGACGCUAAAAUUUACCACUUUUCAGAUUUUGUUGUUGAUUGUCUUUGACAUUGGAAUGACAUUGUUCCAAAUCUUCUAUCAAUUUUCUCAUGCUAAAGCUCUUAGUGAGUAUAGAAGUAGAUUCAGUUAAAUUAUCAUCAGUGUCAUUGACUACAUGGUCUUCAUGAUCAACAAUGUCAACUUUGGUACACCUUUAUUCUUUCUCUCAGAUUUUUCAUCAAUGACAAUAUCAAAGGUGGGUAAGGAGUCAAUCAAUUAAUUAAAUUUCAUUUUGAAGAUAUUUCUAGCUUCCUCAAUGGUAGUAACCUUCAUAAUAAACCUCUUUGGUGGAGAUCCUAGAAAUUUUCUUAUAGGCUUCUCGUAUGACAUUUUUUCACUAAGAGCGAAUGAGUUAUUAGUAAUGUCACAAAGAUGUACAUUAAAUUCACUAAUAGGUUCAUCCUCAAACAUAUUCAAAAUUUCAAAUUUAGUGGUAAAAAGUUGAAGUCUUGACAUAAAAACUUUGGAAGUUCCCUAAUGAGCAACUUCAAGAUUUUUUCAUUCCUCUUUAGCACUAGUGCUUAUGUUAAUGAUUCAUUCCCCUAACUAUAUUUUUGUAAACUCCAUUGUAAAUAGAAUUAUGAAAAUGAUAACUCCCAAGUGCUUCUUCAUCUUCGACAUAUGUCCAAUCUUUUCCAGGCUUCACAUAUUCUAAAUCAUCAUCAUCUUUGAUCGUAGGAGGAUUUCAUUCAUUGAUGAUCUUUUUCCAAGUUUUGUCAUCCAUGAUCUUAAGAAAGGAGACCAUAUGUUCUUCCAAUAGUCAUAAUUAGUACCAUCAAGAAUUGGUGGAUGGUUAAUAUAUCCUAAUUCCUUGGUAUUGUCCAUCUUAAACAUAAUAUGAUAGAUACCCUAAAAUGCACCCAACUAAAGCAGGGUGCAUGCUCUGAUGCCCAUUAAAAUUAUGUUUGAUCGAUAACAAGAUGUCACACACAAUGUAGAAACAAUGCGUGAGACAAAUUGAUAUGAAAUAAUCGAUGAACAAUCAAAUAAAUUAUAAAUAAGAAACACAAAGAAUUGGUAUCCCAGUCUGGUGCAAUCAUCACUUAUGUGCGGAGGGUUGUAGCCCAAAGGAAAAGAAAUUCACUAAUUAGAAGUAGUCAAUAGUAUACGACGGUCUCAUCUUAAGGAAUAUCUUGAGUUUCUUGAAGAAAGUAAUAAAAUGCUUAAGUUCGAAUUUGCUAGUAUUAGAAAAUCAACUUAAACAUGUGAGACUUGCGUCUCUUUGAAAAAGGAAGUGACAGAUCUAUAUGAAAUCUUAAGUAAGUUUACUAAGGAAAAAUAAAACAUUGACCUGAUCUUAUUAAGUCAAAAUCCUUCCUUAAAUAAAAUUGGAUUUGUUAAAAAUUUCAAGAAUAUCAAAAAUAAAUAUUGGUGAUAUUCCUUUUUUUAAUCUAAUUGGAGUUUUAACUUCUUUCUAUUUAAAUAUUAGAUAAAUAAACAAUCAAAAAUUAAUAUUUUUUUAAUUUAAUUGACAUUUUGACUUCUAUUUAUAAAAAUAUAUAUUGAAGUAACAUUUUCUCUUUUAAUCGAGUUGGUUUUGACAUUUUCUAUUAUUUUUAGUCGAUGAUUUUUUGAACAUUUUUAUCGAUGCUUCACAAAGGACUAAUGGUAAAACAUUUUUUUAAAAGAUAAACUUCAACAAAAAUUGUUUCACCUUAUUUUAAUCUCAUUCUUUCAUACUGAGUAACCUUUAUAAUUGGUCGAAUUGUUACUCGAAUGUUUUGCAUGGAUCAUAUCGCUAACUAUUUCUUGCAAUGAACGAUUCUUCGUUUCACCAAUUCCAUUAUGGUGAGGUGUGAUGAGGGCAGGGAGUUCAUGGACAAUCCCUUCAGUUGUGCAGAAAUGAGAGAAGCUGGAGUUCUCAAAUUAUCUGACAAGAUCGCUUCGAAUGGGAAUGAUAUUGGAAAGUUCUUAUCCCUUUUCACCUUGUAGAGGACGACAAAGAGUUUCAAAAUAAUGAAGGUGUCAUACUUUUCACGAAUAAACUCCAUCUGGUGUACCUGGAGUAGUCAUAAACAUACACAAAAACAUAUCUCUUAUCUUCAAGACUCUCAACUUGCAUAGGUCUCAUAAAAUCCAUAUGAAGUAAUUCAAGAAUACGAGUAGUGGUAAGAUAUUGAGCCUUCUUAUCUGAAAUCUUAUUUUGCCUCCUAAUCUAAUAGUCUCACUACUACAAAAAUCAUAUUUUACCUUGGACGUCAAUGGGAUUUUACCUUGCUUACUUAAGUGAGAUAACGAAUGACGUCAUAAAAACUUGCCAUUUUACCCAUCGGUUUCUGAUUAACUGAGGGGAUAGUUGAAAUUGUCAUUUUUUCGACCCCCAACAACAACAUUUUUAUAUUUUUAAAACUAACGCCACAUACCUCGGUUUCUAUCAAAAACCGAGGGAAAAAUAUUUUUUUGAAAUACAAAUUACAUUGUUUACACAGAAUAUUAAAUUACAUUGUUUUAAAAUAUCUAUUUCUUUAUUAAAGUACAAAGUUUAUUAUGUUACAUUGUUUUGGUUUCAAUAUACAAGUACACAUUUUUGACAAAUCUGAUUCAUCAUCACCACUCUUAUUCUUGAAGAAGAACAAAUCCAUAUUUCGUUGCAUACCCAUUGCUUUUCAAGUUCAAUAGUUUUGCACGCUUUCAAUUUUUGAUUUAACAUAAAAAAGGUUAUAUACAUAACAUAAAAUUUCAGUUAAAAGAUAAGAUAUUAUGUAAGAAUAUCACCCUUGGAACAAUUUUUUUAUGCACUUGCAAUCCAUCCCAGAUAUUUGUUACAAGCUUCAAAUUGCUUUUCAUGGUCAAUGCUUCAUUGUCAAUGUUUAGGUUUCAAAGGACAACGCCUAUGAUAUAUAGUGGUGGUGUUCGUGUUCUUAUUGGAUGUAAUGGGUAUCUUGUGGAUUGAUGUGUUGACAAUAUCUUGAGCGUUGUUACUGUAUGAAUGUAGGACAUAAAUUCAUUAUAGGCUAAUUGAGUAACUAUACCCCUCGGUUCUUUUAUGAAAGAACCAAGGUAAUAUAUUACUUGCAAAACCAAAUGGUGAAUGGUAAAAAGUUGAAAGUAACAUGUAUUAUUUCCUUUUUUAGAUUUUUACCAUUCAUCACUUUCUUUGUGUGCUGGCAUAUUCAAAUAAAGGAUUGUAUUCAAUACAAAUUUUCAAGAUCUUAUAUUAUGAAACAAAAAGAUUUCUUGUAAUUUAUAGUAUGUUUAAGAACAAAUUUCUCAUGUUGUCAAUCGAGAAACAAAUAAAUUAUGGAGUGUUUUUUUUACUGACAACAUAGGAAGUUAUUCCAAAAUAUAACAAUCGUCUUGCAAUAGGUGGAAACAACAACAACAACAACACCGCAAAAACCCAUUAUGUGAGAUAGAUUGCGAGAGCAUAAUUUUUUUUGUUCAAGGUUGGUGUUAGAAGAACAACAUACAACACAAAACCUUGAAUAUUUUCUCUGUCUUGCAAUCCAUCCUAAAGAAAAAUGUGUACGAGUUUGGAAACAAUGGAAAAAACUCAGAAACCCCAAAAAAGAAAACGUGACACAAUGGAAUCAAAUCCAAGUCAAGGGAAUUGGUAGACCAGAGCCUCAACAAUCUCAACCACUAACCUCAAUCUGUCAAACAAUGGCAAUGAAUGAUAUAUAAGAGAAAACAAACGCAAUAAAUGGUAUAACAAAAUGAACAUCAAAACUUAGUACCAACACUAUGCUUUCAUGAACAACCAUGUUUAUCUACUUCUUCACAUUGCAAAUAAACAAACUCCAAAACUCAAACCAAACAUGACACAAAUUCAAGUUCUCAUCAAAAGAAACAUGAAGGUGAUAAUGGCAAAGAUGAUGGCUAUCAAUUAUGAAUUAUUUUUAGUGUCUCACCCUUCAAUGUAUCUACUCAAGUGACAAACAACAAACUACUCAGAAAACAAAAAAUGGCCACUGCAUUUCCAACUUCAUGUUUAAUUAAGGUCAUUUUUAAGCAAGUAAUAAACAAUCUAAAAGAAAUGAAAACCAAGAGAAACAUAAACAAUGCAUUCUCAAACAAACAAAACCAGAAUGAACGCAACAAAACCUUUACACUGAAGGCAAUGGCAAUGGAUGUGGUUCUCGGUGAUGAUAUUGUGGGCGCCAGUGAAACUCACGAUGAAGGAGUUUAAGGAUGGUUCCCAGCGAUGGUAUCAUGGAAGCAAAGGUUGUCGCUUGAUGCGUAUGUUGGUGGUUUACGAAGAGGAUGGUGUUUCUCACGGUGGCUUUGAUGUUGAAGUGAAGGGAGUUGUUUGAAUGAUGAUUACACAGUUGUGAGGAGAAGAUGUGGUGAAUAAGGGUGGUGUCACGGUUGUGAAGAUUUACAGGGUGUGAGUUUUGUUUGGAAGAGUGGAAGAUGAGGUAAGUGGUUGAAUGGUAUGUGGUUUGUGGUUUGUGUAUUUUGAUGUAGGGAGAUGAAAGAGGUAUGGCGUAUGGGAGUUGAAGGUUUGUUGUUUUAUAAUGGAAAAAGAGUGAAGAAGAAUUAUAGUGGAGAGGUAUUUUUAGGAAGAAGAGGGUGUGAGGUUGGUUUUGCGUUUUUGCAGCAAACUCAAAUUAGAGAGAGGAGAUGAAGAAUACCAUACGUGAGGGAGCCAACCAACGAGAUCUUUUUUUUUAUAUUAUGAAAACAGGUUGUCAGCCACCUAUUGGUUCUUAUAGGAUUGUUUUGAAAUAAAAAAGCACCUUUCUCAUGCACCGUGUGUCCGUCUCAAAUUGGCUAUAUCCCUCUUUUUUGUCUUUUUCGUUUUAGUGGAGUGAGAGAAAGAUGCUAGUGGGAAUCCCAAAUGUGUUUCUCAUUUUUUGUGUAGUCUCUCUUGUUGGAGGAACAAAACCAUUGCCAGCUUUUUGUUUAUUUUAUCACCAUCGAGAAAAGCGGGUUCAUGAGAGGGAGAGAAAUUUUGAAUGGAUUUCUUGUGAGGACACAUGGCACAAAGUUAUUAGAAGAAGAGAUAUAUUUUCCUAUUUUCUUGAUUUUCUUUAACAAAUUUAAAUUAUUAAGUGGAAUUUCAAAAAUAAAUUAAAAAUAAACGACACAAUCAAAAUUCAAACUAAAAACAAGAUAAUUUCUAAAUAAUCGUCUCGAUUAUUUUGACUAGAAAACAUAAAUAAAUGGAUAAAAAAUUAAUAAAAAUCGGGCGCAAAAAUGCCCAAAAAAUUAAUAUGGUUGCACCACAAUGAUCAAUGCAAAAUAAACUUCUCGAAAACAUACAGUUUUUUAUCGAAUUUGAAAAAAAAAUGUCCGAUUAAAACGCUCAGGCAAAUGAAAAUGUAACCGAAAAAGUAGCUGAAAAAAUAAAUCGAGCACACCAGGUUAAACUACGUGAAACAUAGAUUAAUAAAAUUGAUGUUUGUAAACUCAAUUUUGAUAUUUUUCGUCCGCUGAUUUGACACACAUUUGAAAAUUGAUUCAAUCAGUCUGUUUGUAGAUCCAAAAAUUUAUUUUGACUAACAUUCUAGGAAUUAUGCGGUAUGGGGUGCAUGUUAUGAUAUGCAGAGAUGCAAAAACUGUGAUAUAUGUAUUGAUUCCGCGAUUCAGGGUCAAAAUUGGGGUGUGACACAUAUGUCUCAUGAUUAUUAACUGAAUAAUAAUAAUAAGUCAUAACAUUAACAUUAAUAUCAUCCGGUCAUAUGUCUUGAUCAAGUAAAAAUAGGUUCGUCCUCAAAUUUGACCUAACCUAAAGGAAUCUAGCUACUCGUGCUGAAAUUAAUCAAUACCAGUAGUUUAGAUUCAAAGAGCAUGAAAAAUCACUAAAGAAGAAGCUCUCCAAUGGCCUUCAAAAUCUCCAAAAUCACUCUAAAACGUCUCUCUCUCUCUCUCUCUCUCUCUUCUCUCUCCUCUCUUCUCCCCUCCUCCUCUCUCUCUCUUUUAUAUAAAGUUGCUGGAACGCGGGCACGUUGCACUAUCAUUACUUCAAUGUUGGCGUAUUGCUUUUCAAUGCUGGCUCGUUAGAGGCAGUGUGCGCAUGUUAUAGUCGUGUAAAAUCCAGGGGCUUCAAUGCGUUUUUGCUCCUUUUUUUCACCAAUUUUCUCACUAAGUCAUUUUCUUCACCCUAUGACGUUUUUUUCCAACUUUUUCAAUUAAAUGCUUCUAACUUGCUCAAUUCUUUUCAGAAUUCAACGAUUUUUCUUGCUAAAUGACGUGCAUUGAUAACCCUUCAUCAUAACCCCAAAUUUAAAUUGUUGCUUGUCCUCAAGUAACCUGUACGCACACUAAAACUUUAUCAAAAAAAUUAGAAACCUUACCACAUGAAUGUCACUUGAUUUUGCUAAUCAAGACCUUCGUUUCAUGAUUAGGUUUAAUCAAAUCUGAUAAUUUAUUACAUCAUCAUUACUUAACAUGUCUCUCUACUUACCAUGAUGCACUCAAUUGAAAGGAUGUUCACUCAAUCAACAUGCAAGGGUAAAAACCAGUGAAUUUAUAAGUUAUCUCCAAAAUCAGUCAGAUCAUAUUUAAACGCACAUAUUUGAGGAUUUUUUCAGUUGUAAUAUGGCUUAUGUCAGGGUAGGAUAAUUUUUGGAUAAUUGGUUUAAACCUUGGAGUUAGGUACCUCUUUGUCCUUCCGUUAUCUUUUCCCUUUCAUAUCAUUCUUUCUUUCAUACUUGGUACUAGAGAUUUUUCAAAUUUGUGGUCUUUUUCAUCAAUUUAUUUUUUGAAAAUGCCAUGUUUUAACAUCUUAUUUUAUUUAUUUUUCUUUUCUUAGACCAAAUACUAUAGUACCCCCAACCCCAAAUUAAGUGUUGCUAACUUCUAAGAGCAACCCCAAACUUAGUGUUAGCUUAUACCAAAAUUAAAAUCUAUCUACCUAACUCUAAGGAGGAUGGAAAGAUUUAUAUAUUUUAAGUCAAGGGCUUAUAAUAGGCUAAUUCUCCGAAGGAAAUGCUAAUUCACAAAUUGGUUAACAAUGGAUAUCAGUCAUAAUGUAAGGGUAGUUUAUAAGUCCGUAGAGUUUUCACAAACAAUUGCCUUUAUGCAUGUUUAUCAUAUCAACUUACUUUAAACAAAUAAAAUGUAAGUUCUAGAUAUUACAAUUGCAUGGAUACACUGAGAAAAAUAAAUAAGUAAACAAAUGGAAAUAUUAUGGCUCAAACCUCACAAGUUUAUAUUUGUAGAUUAAGCAACAACAAUGGUGUCCCCUUUCUUCAUUAAUCAUUACUCAGCAAAGUCACUUUGAUCUCGAUCACACUAUUCUCUAUCUAUUGUGACUUAUUUUCUAUUCAAAGGUAAGGUAGUAAUUAAACUGAAAAAGAAACAUACACAAACAAAAUUCAUUUAUCAAAGACAAAGCAAUACAAAAUUUAGGGCAGACAACAUUUUUGGAGCUCCCCCUUUUUAACUGAUUGGUACAAAAGGAAAUAAACAAAAGGAAAUAAAACAAAAGUAGUAUGUUGGACUAGAAACCAUCAUCAGGACGGAAGAAGUCAUGAAGUCGAGUAAGGUCAUCAUUAUAUUCCUGAUUCUACCUAGCCCAAAGGAUCCUCAUCUCUGCUUGCAUGUUUUCUAAGCUUUGAUUCUGCUCCACAAAGUGCGUCUCUGUCGCUACUAAAGUAGGAGAUUUUUUGCUUAGAUUAGGGACAAAUACAUGAUCUAUGCGAUGAUCAUAAAAAUCUUGGUACCCGACCCAAAUCUCGGGGUGUUGAUGUACAGAUUAGGCGACGCUUCAUGAGCCUAAGUGGUUAUGCCCAAGGAAAAUUCUUAUCACUGAUGCAUUUGUUCAGAACGUUGCUGAUUUUGAUGGGCUUCCUCAGGUGGUUGUUUCAUCUCAGGACGGUAGACAUCAUCCUCUCCUUGCUCCUCUUGGCCUCUGGCUGGAUGACGUGGGUGGAGGGUCUUGCGGAUGGAACUUGUUGUGGUUAGAAGCAUAUGGUUGAUCAUCACCUCUUCUGGGUGCAUCUGGACUCCUGCCAACCUGCAAAAUUUGUUAAUAACACAAAAGUGCUCCCUAUUUCUUUGGGGGGCAUCAUCCAUAAAUUUGAUGUUUCUCGUAAUGAGUAUUCCCAUAUUAAUAUGCUCAUAAUGCAAGAUAGCCGUGAGAGUCUGGCACAUUCUCACCGUCAAGUCAGAAUGAGUUGAAAUGCCUCCAAGGUUUGGAUUAAAAACGAAGCCCAAGCCUUAGGUAUCAGGAGCAUGUCUCUAACCUUCAAAUUAAUAAACCUAUCUUAAGCCAUUAUCCACUCAGUCUCAGGAUGACAAAACUCAGCCAACAUCAUCUGACUCAUCUCAUCAGAUAAUCGCACCUUCCUACUAUUUUGAAUGUUACAACUUGGAGGUGCUUGGAGACGAAUAAGAGAAUUAAUAGCUUGAGGAGAAAAAUCAAUACUUUUACCUCGGGCAUAUGAUGUGUAAUCAUGAGAUUUUUGAUUGGCAGCGUUCACGUAGAACUCAAACCCAAUGUUUUACUUGUCUCCUUAAUCAGCUUAUUCAGGCACGUUCAUCCUCUUGUCUCUAGUAUGUUGUUUAACUCUUCAAAUCUAGAGAGAUGCUCCUGAUCAAAGGCACACUCCCUCAUAAUUAUGAACUUCUUAAUCUGCAUGAGUUUUUAUGCGCUCGGUUCAUUCACAAAUAGAUACGAGGGGUAGUUGGAGCUGAUGAUAUGGAUUGACCAAAGGUACAACUUCUAUUUGGUGGUGCCAUAAAUUAUGUAAACACAAUAGUGAAAACAACAAGUCUUUUGCAAGAAUAUGAUAGUAAUUUGUGAGAAGAAGAGAGAAUUAAGAUUGGAAUGAAAAAGAAUAGCUGAAAAACCACUUUUAAAGGCCAGCUUCGCGUCCAACGUGCGCGUUGAGAUCGAAGGUGCCCGCGUUGACCAAUGGUAGAGCCAACGAUCAUCAAUCCAACGGUCAAAGCAAAUGGUCAAAAUCCCCAACUAUCAAAUCCUUCCACGCGCCCGUAUUUUUUCAGGGGCUAUCUCCAUUUUUCUGUACAAGAUUUUACUUUUCUAUCACUUGCUUAUUGUUACAUGCUACCUCCAUUGCCUUUUUUGAUGAUUCUACUCAUCCAACAAACAUAAAAAAUACGAACACAAUAAAAUAAAAAAUACAUUUAAAUUUAAAUUAAUGGAAAUUAAAAUUAUCUGAUAUGAAAUUAAUUAGAAUGGAGACAGUUAGACUAAUUGUUGCAAUCAGUAGUUAUUAGAGAUUCCUAUGUAGCAAUUAUAUGUGAAUUCAUUUGUCCUCGAUGGAAAACUAGAAUAAGUAGUUUCGAGAUAAAAGAUGUGUACAAGUUGAAGACAAAUCUUAAUGGAUUGAUACAAGCACCUAUAUUGAUGGGUUCCUACUUCAACAAAUUUAUAUUUUAAGAGCUCAACAAUUAAUCAUAAGUUGAUUAUGUACACUUUAUGUUGAUGACGAGAUCAUAAAUGGGAAUGGUGAACUUGAGAAGAAUAAAUUCAUGAAAUACUCGAUGAAUGAGUUUAAGAUGUAUCAUCUUAAAGCCUUGUCAUACAAUAGAAAGAGUACUAGUGCAUCAAAAUAUAUAUGCAAAAGAUGUAAUCGCAUGGUGAUAUAAGAGAAUUCUUGCUAUUGUUGAUCAAAUUUUAUUUAUUUUGGAUGUCUUUUUUGUCCACUCAAUUAAAAGGAAUUGUAUUCUUGCGAACUUGCUAAAGCAAUUUCUAUUUAUAUUCUUAAGAUAUUAAUAUUUAUUCCAAGAUAAAGGCAUCCAAUUCCAAAUAUAGUGUACAUGUUACCAGUGGCGGAACUUACUGCUUUUGUAUUUAGCUAAAGCUUAUUUGAUGUAGAUUCUUAAGUCUGAGACGAUCUUUCAUCUCAUUAUAUGUUCCAAUUCAUUUUGAAGACAACACAAUUUGGGUUAUACUAAACUAAUUCAUAUGAAGGAGAAGUGAUCAAUACAGUAACUGAAAAUUAAAAAACUAAUUCACUAUCGAUGGAGAUGUGAGUUAAUUGAUGAAUUAACUAAAAAAUUAUGUCCUAACAAAAUAAUGGUUUAAAAAUUAUGCAUGAGAGUAUACAACAAAAUAAUGAUUUUUAAUUCCGCAUGAAAUUAAAAAAUUAUGUCACAACAAAAUAAUGGUUUAAAUGUAUCAUCUUAAAUCAUAGAAUGAAAGUAUACAUAUCAUCUUAAUCCUGCAUGUCAAACAAAAUAUAUCAAACAUUAUCUUUUUGGUUAAUCCAACGGUUGCAUUAUGAAAGUUUGAACUAUACGGGUCUUAAGCCCAAUUAACACUUUUAAAAAUUUGUAUUAAAUAUUUUUUAAAUAAAAAUAAAUAAAAUAAUAAUUAAUUUAUGAAAAAAUAUUAAAUAAUAAAUUAUUCUAAUCAUCGUUGUCAACUCAUUAAAAAAAAUUCUAAUCAUUACUGUCACGUCUGUAAAAUUAGAGGAAGACCAACUAAAUCCUAAAUGAUAUAAAAUUCAGGGGCCAAAAAGCUGGUUUUUAAAAUAGAUUGACUAAAAAUAUUAAAAAAAACAUCGAAGUAGGGGACCAAAAGUGCAUUUAAACUUUUUUUAUAAGUGUUUUUGGACUUUUCACACGUAUUAAGAAAAUAAUCAUUGUUGCAUGUCAAAGAGAAAUUACGAAGGAUUUUACAAUAUUGUCUUUUAUUAAUUGCAAAGGAAAUAUAAAUUUAAAUAAUUGAAAGAAAAUAUGAUAAUAAAUACUUAAAGGUGUAAUAGAGAAUAACAUUAAUGAUUUUUUAAUAUUGAAAAAUGAAUUAUAUUUUGAUACAAUUUUUUCUCCAAAGAGACGGAUGAAGUAAUGAAUAAUUAAUGUAGAGAUAUUUUUGGAAUAAAGAUAUUAAAUAAGUUGAUAUUUGUUUAUAUUUAAGAUCAAAUAUUUUUUUCUUAUAAAUAAGGUCGGGGUACUAUUAUAGGAGUACUUUCUCUAUUCUAAAUUAUAAGACAUUUUAGAUAUUUCACACGAAUUAAAAAAUAUAAUUAAUUUUGUAAGAAAAAGAUAAAUUAUGUAUGAUUUUACAAUAUUGUCGAUAAUUUGUUAUAUAUGCUUCAUUUAUUAUAUAUGAAGGAAAAAGUCAAAGAAUUUGAAAAAGAAAUAUUAAUAAAUGAUAAAGAGUAUCUUAAAAAAAUACAUAAUUAAUGUUGCAUUGGAAUUAUAAAGUAACUUACUCAUUCCAUCUUAAAAUAAAAAUCUUUUAAGGUUGUUACAUACAAAUUAAGAAAACUAAUGAUUGAAUAAAUAAAUAUAACAAUUUUAAAAAAUUGUCUUUAAUUAAUAUUGGUUGUCAUAAAUACAUAGUAUGGUUUAAUAACUCGAAUGUAAUAUAGACAAUAUUUAUAACACGUAAAGUUGAUAAAAAUUAAUUAAUAUUAUAUUGAAAAAGUAAAGAGACUUUUAUUUUGAAAUAAGAUUUUCUUAGGAAAACACUUACUUUAGGACAAAGCAGUAUAAUUGAGAAAUUUUUUUUAACAUAUUGACUUAUAUUUUGGGACAGAUAGAGUAAUAUUUUUAGUUAUAUUUAUGGAUCAACUAUCAACAUUAAAUUGUUUAAAAUUAAAUCAAUGGUAUAAUAGGAACACAAGUAUUAAUUAGUUUUAAAAUGAUUGAAUUUUAAUUGUAAUAGUGAUCAAGAUUUAAGAUCAUAUUUUUGCUUAUAAUAAUGACACGAGCGAGUAUAUAUUUGGAAUUAAAAAAUUAAAAGAAUCAAGUUAAUUUUUUUAAAAUAUUUUUUAAAAAAAAAGAUUGUUUUUUUCUUAUAUUUUGUUCUGACGUAUUUCCAGGAUCCCUUAUUUUCUUGUUAUCUGAUGUAUUUUCAAAUAUUCUUUUGUAAUUUUGAUGCAUUUCAAGAGUUUUUUUCUUUUACCCUCUGAUGAAUUUCUAGAUGCGCCUUAUCCCUACCUAAUGUAUUUUCAAAUAUUCCAUUAUCAUUCAGACAUAUUUCCAUCAUUUGUUUUUUUUAUCCGAUGAAUUACCACAUACGAAUGUUGAGUUCUGAGGUAUUUUCAGAAUCUAUCCAUUUUAUUUCCGGAUUAUUUCAUUUAUAUCUCUAAUGUAUUUUCAGAUUAAGUGUUAUGUUCUGAGGUAUUUCUAGAACCUAUCUGAUGUAUUUUUGGAUUUAUGUCAUUAUCUUUAUAAUAUAUUUCCAGAACAUACUUUUAAUAUUUUCUAGUGUCUUUUAUUCAUCAAAUUGUCAUCCCCAGUGAGUCUUCACCUCCAUUGUCUUUUUCAUUCCCUGUGGAUCGCUGUUACAUUUUUCCAUCAUUAUCCACGGGUCCAUUAUCCUUUUGUUCCUCAUCCAUCAUAAAAUCCCCGUGCUAUGAUUCAUCUCAUACCACAUCAUAUUCCUAGCAAACAAAAAUGAAGAAAAAAAAGAGUUUAUGAUGCAUUCAUAACAUUUCAUAAAGGGACAAAAUUUGGAUCCUUUAAUAUUUAACUAUCUCUCACCGCGAUCAUAUGAAGAGUGUCCAUAUUCAUAUUCUUUGGUCGAAGAUACUUAAAUAGGGAAACUGUCAUACUCCAAUUUUUUUUCUCUCAUUCAAUAAAUUGAUGCAUACAUCAUGAUAUUUGCAUCACCUGCCUAGCAUAAUAUGCAUUUCAUCUUACAUAAUGCUUAAAAUGUCAAUCAAAAUAAAUUUUCGAAUAUACAAUUCUCAAAUGUACAUAAAAUUAGCGAGCAAAAUUUUUUGAAAUCAAACUUGUAAACAUCAAUUUUAUUAAUCUACGGUUCGCAUAGUUCAACCUGUCGUUCUCGUUUUAUUUUUUCGACUCCUUUUUUGUCGCAUUUUGAUCAGGUUUAGCAUUUUAACCUAUCAUUUUUUACUUUAAAAUUUGAUCAAAACCUAAUCAUUUUCUAGAAGUUUAUUUCAGGCUGUUUAUUUUAGUCCAUUCAUUUUAAUUUUUCGACCAUUUUUGUGUCAAUUUUUAUUCAUGUUGAGUCCUUUUAUUUUUGUCAAAAUGUUUUCAUUUCGAUUUCAUUGUAAUUAUUUUUAAGUGUUUGAUUUUUAUUUUGCUUAAUUAGUUUUAAUUCAAUUUAUCUCUUAAAAAUAUAUAAAGGGCAUUGUGGAAAUAUUUGAUUUUUAAAAAACCCUAGUGUAGUUAUUAUAUAUAAAAUCACCAAUGACCAGUGGAGAGAGGGAGAAGCAGCGGCAUAUCAUCUCCUUUACUAGUCUCGUCAUCUCUCAAAAUGAGUUAUGAUGAAACCUUUUUUUUCUUGGCAACAUUAUAGUUCCUCUUGUAUUCAUUAAAUGCAUGAAUCUCUUCUCUCAAAUAAAAAGACAAGAGAAUCAUGAACAAAAAGAAAAAAGAAAAGUGCAUAAAACUAAAGGCUUGGUGUUUCACUAUUCAUGUUCUUCUUCAACAAACAUAUAGCUCCUUCACGCCACCUUUCUUCAUUUCUCACCAUCAACAACAAUAAUCUUCAUGUAAAAACUUCUACACACCACUUAAAACCUCAUAAAAAUCACACCAAACAACUUUAAGCAUCAACCUACACCACACUUUCAUGAAGAUCUCCAAGUCCUCUAACACAAACUUCAUAAUCUAUUCUAUUCAACCAACCUUCAUCAUCUCACUAAACUAAUCUUCUUCAACUCUCACACUCCAAAACCAUAAACAACACUGUUGGUGCAAAGGUAGAAUAAAAGAUGAAUAUUCUAUUAAGAGAAUGACGGCUACAAAAAGGAUUAAAAGUUACAAUGAUUGACCCCCUAUUUAUAAGCCUCUAACAAACUUAAAUAUGAAUCAAAUCUAAUAUUUAAAUCUAAUAUCUAACAAACUUAAAUAUGAAUCAAAUCUAAUAUUUAAAUCUAAUAUCUAACAAACUUAAAUAUGAAUUAAAUCUAAUAAUUAAUCUAAUCCAUCCCUUAAUUCAUAUUCCAUCAAAACUUGAACACCAAUUCCAUCCCUUAAUCUGAGAAAUUGAUCAGUCUUGAUAGUUUCGUCAGAACAUCUGCCAACUGCUUCUGAGUGCUGCAGUGUACAACUUCUAACACUCCCCUCUGAACUUGAUGUCUCAGAAAAUGAUACUUGGUCUCAAUGUGCUUGCUUCCCCAUGCAACACUGGGUUUCUGGCAAGAUUGAUUGCAGACUUGUUGUCAAUCAUCAGCUUCAGAGGUUUGUUUACUUUAAUCUUCAGAUCCUGCAAUAGAUUCAGAAUCCACACAGCUUGGCAUGCAGUAACAGCACCUGCAAUAUAUUCAGCUUCACAAGUUGACAACGCCGCAACAGGUUGCUUCUUGAACACCAAGAAAUGGGACCUCCCAGAAAUUUGAAUAAGUACCCAGACGUACUUCUUCUGUCAAAUCUGUCUCCACACCAAUCAGAAUCUGAAUAACUCAGAAGUUCUGACUCAUCCUUUCUUCCAGAAGAAAUAAUACUCCAUACUUCAGAGUUCCCUUGAUAUACCUCAGAAUCCUGACAGCAGCUUGGUAAUGGGACCACUUAGGUUUACUCAUAGAACCUACUAACCAUCCCAACUGAAUAGCAAUAUCAGGUCUGGUAUUGCACAAAUACCUCAGAGAACCAACCAACUGUUGAAGGUUGUAGCGUCCACAUCCUUCCAUCAGAGUCAGAAUCCAGUUUCUGAUUUGUAUCAGAUGGUGUGACAGCAAUCUUACAAUUCUUCAAUUCAAAUCUCUUCAGAAGUUCUAAUUCAUACUUGAGCUGAUGCAAAAUAAUACCUUUCUCAGAGUAUCUGAAUUCCAUCCCUAGAAAGUAUGUCAUUUUGCCUAGAUCAGUCAUUUCGAAUUCAUUCAUCAGAACUUUCUUGAACUUGGCUAUCUCCUGUUCAGAACUUCCAGUCAAGCAGUAUAUCAUCAACAUAUAAACAUACCAGAGUCAUAUUUCCUUCAGAAGUAUGUUGAACAUAGACACACGUACUCCAUCUCACAUUUCUGAAAGCCUUGCUUCUUGAAAAAGAAUCAAUCUUCUUAUUCCAAGCUCUGGGCGCUUGUUUCAAUCCAUAUAGAGCUUUGUAUAAUCUGUACACCAUCCCUUCCUGAUUCUUUUUCACAAAUCCAGGAGGUUGUGACCCGUAAACUUCUUCUUCUAAUGGACCAUUCAGAAAUGCAGAUUUUACAUCUAAAUGCAUCAGAGGCCAAUUCCUGUUAGAAGCUAUUGCAAUCACCAUUCUGAUUGUUUCAUGUCUUGCUACAGGUGCAAACACUUCAGAGUAAUCCAACCCAGUUUUCUGUUAGAAAUCCUCUGGCUACCACCUUGCUUUAUGUUUGCCAAUUGAACCAUCUGGCUUUAACUUCUGCUUGAAAACUCAUCUGACGCUGAUGGCUUUCUUGUCUUUUGGAAGUUCUGUCAGCUUCCAAGUCUUGUUUCUCUCUAUAGCAUCAAGUUCUUCUUUCAUGGCCUUCAACCAGAGCUUCUGCUUAAGAGCCUCUUCUGUACUUAUGGGUUCAGAGUCUACUAACAUGGCACACUGAAUAACUUCUCCUUCAGAGUCUACUUCAGUGUCUUGCAGCAUGUCAAAUUCUGCAUAUCUCUGGGGAUGUUUCUGACUCUUUGUGGUCUCUGAACUUGUUCAGAGUCUUCAACUUCAGAGUUUCUACCUUCAGAUGGUUGACUUCCUCCAGAGCUUUGACCAUCUCAGGGGCUGGCAUAUUUCUAGAGUCUGAAUUGCCACUAGAAUCUGGAUUACCAUCAGAGUCUGGGUCAUCAGAGUCUGGAUCAUCAGAGUCUGAAACAUCAGAGUCUGGAACAUCAGAGUCUGGAACAUCAGAUUCUGGAUCACUAUCAGAGUCAGAAUCAACGUCAGAGUUUACUCCAACCUCAGAAAUUCUGAACUCUGACCUUUCUUCAGAAGUUCUAACAUCAGAAUCAGAUUGAGACUUUUCCUCCAAUUCCAAACUUCUGAUUCCUUCACAAUCACACUCUGCUGAAUUCAAUUUUAUUGGUUUCUGGACAAUAGAGCUUGUAUGCACCUGUACUGUGGUACCCUAUCAGAAUCAUCACUUUGCUUCUAUCAUCCAGCUUCUGUCUUCUGGCUUCUGGAACAUGUUUAUAGCAAACAGAACCAAACACCUUCAGAUGACUAACACUUUGCUUAUCUCCAGUCCACUUCUGUAUUGGAACUAUUCCUUCAACUUCUUCGUAGGACAUCGGUUGAGUACAUACGUUGCAGUGGCAACAGCUUCUCCCAGAGCUUCUGAGGAAGCUUUCUCCUUUAGCAUGCUUCUCACCAUAUCAAGCAAAGUGCGGUUUCUUCUUUCAGCAAGACCAUUGUGUUGAGGGGUAUAAGGAGCAGUAACCUCAUGCUCAAUUCCAUUCUCCUCACAGAACUUCUGGAACUCUUUGGAGUUAUACUCACCUCCACCGUCAGUUCUAAGAAUCUUCAACUUCUGACCACUCUGAUUCUCAGCCUUCAUUCUGAACUUCUUGAAUUCAUCAAACACCUCGUGUUUAAACUUAAUAAGGAUACCCAUGUCAUCUUGUGAAUUCAUCAACAAAUAACACAAAGUAUUUAUUCCCUCCAAUCGAUGCUACUGGAAAUGGACCACAACACAUCAGAAUGUACAACUCCCAAGGCAUGUUUUGCUCUUGGAGCAGUUUCUGACGCAAAUGGCAAUCGUGGUUGUUUUCCUUCCAUGCAAACUUUGCAUGACUUUUCAGGCUUCUUAAUUACAGGAAUUCCAUGUACCAACUUCUUUGAAUUCAGAUGUUUUAAGCUUCUGAAAUUCAAGUGACCAAAUCUUCUGUGCCACAGCUCACUCUCCUUCUCAGCACUUGUUGCCUAAGACAUUCUGAGUCUGCAGUUCUGACAUUCACCUUGAAUGUUCUAUCCUUCCCUGUUCUGACUCCAUAAUCAACUUCUGAUUGCAGUCAUACAGCUUCAGAAGAUUGUCCUUCAUGGUAACUGAGAAACCUUUCUCAAUUAAUUGUCCCACACUCAUCAGAUUGCUUCUGAUGCCAGGUACAUACCACACGUUCUGAAUCAAUGCUGUUUUCCCAUUGUUCAGAAUCACUCUGACAUUUCCCAUACCUUCUGCAUUAAGAUAUUUGUCAUCAGCACAUCUGAUCUUUGUUCUCUUUUCAGAGUCAAAGUCAACCAGCCAUUUCUUGUUUCCAGUAAGAUGAUUUGAACAGCCAGUGUCCAUACCACCAGCUCAUCAGAUCCAUAUCAUCAGAUUCAGAGGCCAUCAAUGCACAGAUUCGUCAUCAGAACUUCUGGCUAUAUUUGCUUCUUCUGAUUUUCUCUCCUUGUUUGACCAACAGUCUCUAGCAAAAUGACCGAACUUCUUACAGCAGUAACAUUGGAUUUUCUUCUUGUCAUACUUCUCUUUUCCCUUCUGAGCAUUCUUUUGUCUAUCAGAGGUUGAGCUUUCUGACUUCUGACCACCAUCAGAUCUUCUCCUGGCUUCUGACUGCUUCUGAUACUCCUAUUAGAAGUUGCUUUCAGAGCCUGCUGCUCUACUUCCCUUUCAGAAGUUCUCUCAGUUAAACGCAACUCUUGCGCUUCUAGACUGCUCUGCAGCUCUUCAAUCUCAUGGUGCUCAGAUCUUUGGAAUGUUCUAUUGCUACCACAAUGUAAUCAAAUUGACAGGUAAGGAUCUCAAUACCUUCUCCAUGAUUGUUUCUCAGAAAGAGUUUCUCCACACGCUUUCAUCUCAUUAGUGAUCAGAAUCAUCUGGAGAUGUAUUCAGAAACUUUCUCAUUAUUCUUCAUGUUGAGAUUUUCAUAUUGCUUUCUCAAGGACUGAAGCUUCACCUUCUUCACUGAUGCGUCACCACCAUAACAUCUAACCAGUGUGUCCCACGCAGCCUUUGCUGUCGUUGAAUCUGCAAUCUUCUCAAACACAUUUACAUCAACACAUUGAUGAAUGAAGAACAAUGCUUCUGAUCCUUCUUCCUUACUUCCUUCUCGCGCGUUUUCUGUUCAUCCGUUGCAUCUGCUGCUACCGGAAUAUAACCAUCAGUGACAAGAUCUAGAACAUCUUGAGCACCGAACAGUACACGCAUUUGGAUCAUCCAACGAUUCCAGUUUUUACCGUCAAAUACUGGAAGUUUGGUGUUCAUGUUGCCGUUUCCGUCAUCUUUCUACCUUGCACAGUACACUCAGAUUUCUCACACAGUGUUUCCAACCCCAGAAUUAAAAUUCUGAUCAGAUUUUGUUCAAGAUUCAACACGAAUCUAAGAAUCAAAUCAAACACACAAGACCUCACGUUCACUCGUGUUUCCCGUGUUUCCCAAUGAAUCCGAACCGGAGCUCUAGAUAUCAAUUGUUGGUGCAAAGGUAGAAUAAAGAUGAAUAUUCUUUAAGAGAAUGACGGCUACAAAAAGGAUUAAAGUUACAAUGAUUGACACCCUAUUUAUAAGCCUCUAACAAACUGAAAAUAUGAAUCAAAUCUAAUAUUUAAAUCUAAUAUCUAACAAACUUAAAUAUGAAUCAAAUCUAAUAUUUAAAUCUAAUAUCUAACAAACUUAAAUAUGAAUUAAAUCUAAUAAUUAAAUCUAAUAAACACCUCCCACUUUCCAUAUUCAUCUUCAUUUUCAUCACAACAUUUCUACCAUGAAAACCACUAACUUCAUACAUAUCAUUAGAAAGCACACAUAGCAACAAUAACAAAACACAAACAAAAAGAAAGAGAAACAACUCGAAAAUGGAAUCGUGAGCUGAAACGGAGGAAGAGGAAGGCAAUAUACUCGAGCUUCUUUGAAAUCGGCUAAACAAUCACAACAGCGCCACUGUUUAUCACGAGAGAGAGCUAAUUUUUUUUUCUUUUAGUCCUUUAUAGUGCCACGUGUGAUAAUCUAAAUGGCUACAUUUUAAUUUUUGAAAAAAAAUGAGAAAUUAGGCUCUCUGUUUGAAAUCCGCCGCCCCUGUUUAAGUUUUUAGUUGUUCAUUUUUUAUAUAUUUGAUUUAUUAUUUGUAUUAGGUUAGAAAUUGACUUUGGGGUUCUGCUAUUUUUUUUGAUUUUUUUUAAAUAAUUAUAAUUUUUUUUAAAAAUUCUAAAAUAAUUAUUUUUAAAAAAAAAUCCAAAAUAACCACCUUUCAAAACAGAUGCGUCAGAUGAACUGGCGCAUCCAUUUUGAACCAAGAGGAGGCGCCAGCUUUAGUGGCGCAUGCAUUGGAUGUCUCAUGAAGAGGCGCCAAUGCCUCUGGCACAUGCUUAUUGCAUGUGGUGUAUGCGUCAAUUCAUCUGGCACAUACACCCUUGUAUUGGUAUUAUUAUUUUUUAUUUUAUUUUUUUUAUCAAAUGGUAAAAAAUAAUGUAAAAAAAAAUUAUUCAUAAUAUAAUAAAUGUUACAUGGGAUUGACAAAAAUGUAAUGACCGACCUUAUCGAAACGUCCCCCUGUUCCACAUCCAGAUGUGUUAGUUUGUCUUCGAGGUCUCUCACGAUUUUCCUGAGGUGUUUAGGACCUUUGUGUGUUGACCUGAUCGAAUGAUGGCUAGUGUGAAGGUCCGACGGAAAUUCCAAUGGUAUUUGAUAGAUGUGUCAUCAUUUGUUCCCAAUAUCCUGAGGGUUCUGGCCAACGGCGCUUCCGUAAUGGAGUUUGGUGCUCAUGUCAUCGUAGUUAGAUUGAUGGGAUUGGGUGGGUUGUGGACGGUAUAGUUGCCUGAAUUUGGACAUUGAAUCGUUUUCGAAACGAAGCAAUGGUUCUUGGGGUGUACUAUAGUUAAACAAUGUUUGUGUGUUUUGAUGAUGGGAUGUUUGAGUGGUCAUUGGUGGGGGGCUACGAUGAAGUGACUCAUAUGAAUCAUCUAGGCUAUAGACAGUUGUGGUAGAAGCGUAUGGUUGUUGGUGGAUAGGGUUUGAUUCUUGGUUUUGUGGUUGGGUGAGUGACAUGAAUGGAUUGCAACGUUGGGUGUUUGGUUGUUGGGUGGAUGACAUGAAUGGGUUGCGAAGUUGGUUGUUUGAUUGUUGGGUGUAUGUGGUAGGUUGAUGGUGUGAGGUUGUUUGUUGGGUUUGGGUGGUUUGACAUUGGUGUUGGACGGAGAUUUGUUGUUGGGUGUACAAUGACGAAACUAGUUGGCAUGGAUCAAUCAAAUAUCGCGGCUCAGACACAAAUUGUUGCGUUGUCACCGACCUAAACCAUGCCAUAUAUUAUUGAGUUGGUCUUGCCAGGGACAGGGAGGUAUAUCAGUAUGGGGGCAUGUGCCCCCACUAAAUUUUUGUAAAAACAAACUUUAAUAAUAUAUAUAUAUAUUAUAUAUAUAUAUAAUAUAUAUUAAUAUAUAUAUAUAUAUAUAUAUAUAUACUAUAUAUAUAUAUAUAUAUAAAAUUUUAUCAAAACAAUAUAUUUAACCAAAAUUAUAUAUAUUAAAUUAAUUAAAAUAAUAAUAUUAUUAUAAAGAUAUUAUUAAAAAUUAGGUAAAAAUAAUAAAAUAUAUAAAUAUUGUCCAAAAGUUAAUGUGAGUUUUUUUAUUUUCAAUAACUAAAUCAAAAUGUGUCAGAUUAAAUAUAUUUGAAUUUUUUUUAUAAUAUCAAAAUAGUUUUUCUCUAAACCUUAAAAAAAAUUGAUUUAUAAGAUUUUAUAUUAAUGUUAUGAUCUCAUAAAAAAUGCAUAAAAAAAUAUUUUUCUUGAUAAUAAAAUUUAGAAAAUUACAAAAUUAAAAAAUUAAAAAAAUUAUUAAAUAUUUUUUUUGAGAUAAAUUUUAUUAAAAAAUAAAUAUAAUAUAUAUUUAUGAUUUAAAAAUAAAUAAAAACAAACUUAUAUAUUAAUAUAUUGCUCCCACAAUUCAAAAUUUCUGGCUCUGUCCCUGGAUCUUGCACCAUGGAUGACUGGUUCGUUUAAGAUGUGUUGCCGUUGAUUCCUCCAUUGACGACACAUCUCUUUUGCAAAGUCUCUCUAGUCAGAAUAAUCCCAUUGGGCAUCAACUCUUUUUUUAUGCCAAAUCUUCAAACACGUCGGAGGUCCUGGAAUUUGUUGUUGCAUGCCGGACUGCAGUCUUACCCGGUCACUUUGGUGCAUUUCCACAAUAAUGAACCGGAUAAUUGGUGUCUUUGUUGUCCAAACUGAAGCAUCGUCAUGGUUAACCUGAUGAUCAAGACCCAGAUAUGGCCUCCAGAUAAACUGUACAAUAAUACGCACGAUUAGAUGAUAAAUAAUUUGAUAAAUAUUUUUAAAUUAAAAUAGAGUUGUGUAGGAUUAUUACAUCAUCUGGUCCAAUAGAUUGCGAUAGACUAUUAUAUCGUGUUUCAGACACUUAUUGUAGUUCAUCCCCCUUACUGACCACCUAGAUAAAAAAAUGAAAAAUAUCAUUUACAGUUAAUUGUAAUGUAAAGUAUAAUUAAUUAAAUGAUAAAGUGUUAAACUUACUUUGUUGCAAACGGGAACAUGAAUGGAUUCUCGUUUACCGGGGCGAGUGACGACAUUCUUGACCAACCUCAUGCUUGUAGCAAAUACGCACAUGAAUAAAACGUACACGUAUUUUUUUUGGCAUUUUUACACAUUGCACUAUAUAGAUGGACCAACACAGCUGAACCCUAACUAUAUAUGCUUACCUUAUUAAUGUUGCGUAACAACGGUAAAUACAUAAUAUUUACUGAAUUAUCUGUACUUUCUAAAAAUAAAAAAUUACCAAAUAAAAUCAUAAUAUAAUACCGAGCUUUAAUUAUUUUUUCGUACUCGGUUGAUUCUUUGGACAAUAUUAUACUCGCAUAGUAUUAUUUAAGAUAUUUUAAAUUUAUACCUUGCCCCCUAGCUUGACCGAAUGACUCUCCCUCAAUUUGGUCGACACACCCGCAUUCGAACCGAAAUGGAUACGGCGAACAAAAUGGUUAGAUUAUGUAGUUCAUGUCAUUAGACAGGUCACAAUCGUACUAACUAUCCUAGUGUUGGAACGAGCACAACCAGAUAAAUUCACAUGUACGUUUGUUGCAAUAUAUGAAAAACUAAAUUUAUUUCAUAUUAUAAGUUUGUAAGGAAAUAUCAUUACAUAAACAUCAACGCAAGCAAUUAAAACAACUACAAUACAAUAAUUAAGCGAUUACAACCAUCAAAACAGUUUUGAACAUGUAAUGCAUCAUCCUAUGAACGUCUUGGUCAGUCUUAAUAUUCAUCCAUUCACGCACUUCUCCAUUUUGGUUGAACGUGGACACAAGCCAUUGGAUUCUUCUAAUCCUUUCAUCAUCCCCAGUUUCUCCAUUUAACCAAAUGUUCAACGUCUGAUUAAGAAGUUUAAAUAAAUCUAUAUUCCAACGCCGAAUCUUUAUCGGAGAUGCAACGACGGAAAAUAUUAAAUCAAUAUUCCGCUUAUGAAUGUAUUCAGACAUGAUUAAAACUCAAAAAUUUGAAGGAGAGUGAAGUUAAAUGAAAGAAAAUAUGGUUGUAGGGUAAGAUUUGUGUGAAAAAUAUUGCAUACAAGGCGAAGUAUUUAUACAAAAGAGAUAGAAAAUGCAUGCGAUAAGAGGCUAGGCACCUGACAUGUCAAGACAUGUAGGCACCAGAGGCAUUGGCACCUCUUCAUGAGCCAAAAUGCAGGCGCCAUAGGCAUUGGCGUCUCUUCAUGAGGCUUCCAAUGCAGGCGCCAGAGGCAUUAGUGCCUCUUCAUGAUGGAAAAUGGAUGCCCCAGUUCAUCUGGCGCAUCUGUUUUAAAAGGUUGUUAUUUUGGGGGAAAAUUGAAAAAAUGGUUAAUUUGGAAUUUAUUUUGAAAAUUAUGGUUAUUUCAAAAAAAAAAUCGGUCUACUUUCUCCCCAUGCGGAUGCAUUUUGCUGUAUUUGUGUUAUCCCAAUACAUGCAGAUUCUUUUUUCCCCCAUCCGAGUCUUUCCAUUGAUUUAUUUUCAUGGAAAUCCCCUCUUGUCUCCAGCAGUUUUUAAGUCGUAGCCUGGCCUACGCAUAACUUUUAUCCCUAGAGUCCCUGUCUCUCCAAUGAGUUUUCCUUAUGGAAUGCAUUGUGCUCCUGUGAACUUUCGAUAUCUCUGAAUUCUUUUCCUUUGUGGCAAUAUCUUCCCCACAAAGAUUAUUUUUGCAUUCAUAUCAUAUGCAUCAUGAGGUCUCUUAGGGACCAAAAUUUGUUUCUUGAUGUUGUUAUUUAAGUCCAUUCUACCGAGUUGAUAUGAAGAUUUUAACUUUCAUAUCCUUAGCUAGAAUUUCCUAAAAUAGGGGCAGAUGUAACACCCUAAUUUUGACCCUAAGAUCCCUCAUAUCAUCUCAUCAUUUGCAUUGGCUUUGGGAUCACACCUUGGUAUUAUCCUCAUCCCUCAUUCAUUGAGUUUGCAUUGGGAGAGAUCACCAAGCAUAUUUGAUUGUAUCAUACUUUACUUUCUUUGUUUACUAACAAAAACAUAAAAAAUAUGCCUAGUAUGGUGUGUGCAUCCACCUGUGCCUUAUCAAGCUCACAUCUAGGGUUUGAGACCCUCAAUGCAAGGGAGUCAAGUUAUCAAAGGUUCACAAUGGUUCUAAGCAUCAUAUAUGGGUCCCCCAUGCUCUUUAAUUGUCAUUUUGAUCAAGAAUUCGUCAAGAGUUUGAAGCUUGUUUGCCUUGGAAGCCUUAAUUCAUCUAGGUAUCUUGUGUGUCUUCCUCAGCAAGUUUCUUUAACAAUUGGUAAAAAAUAUCAAGGGAUACUUCAUUUUACUUUAUCUUAAGCCUAUGUGAUUCUCCAUGAGCCCCAAAGAGCAAAGGAACUUUAAGUUUGCAAGUUUGUUCAAAGAGGUUGACCAGAGAAAGUCAACUAGUCAAAUCUAGGGUUCCCUAAACCCUAUAUCCUACAUUUUUUUCAUAUUAAAAUGAUUCCAAGAUGAAAGUUACUCUUUAUGACAUUCCAAACAACUUUUGUGUUGGCAUCAAGAGUUAAUUUUGCUUGGAAAAUCAUUUUUUAUGGUGAAAGAUUAUAGGUCAUUUUGUAUGUGCCAUAGAUAGAAGGUCAACUUCCAAGAACCAUAACUUGCUCAAUAUUUAUGAUAUUAAUACCAUCCAAGUUUCAUGAUUAAUUUCAAGAUGUCUUCUCCAACUUUUCUUCUUUGAUAAAGUUCAAGUUUCACUUUCAAGGGCGUGUACUAAGAGGAAAUAUUAUAGGUCAUUUUGGGCCAUCAUCAUUGAACAAACAAUUUUCCUCAACUUCUAAAAUACAUAACUCCCUCAUGAAAUAUUCAAAUGGGGUCAAAUUUGUGACCAAAUUUAAUAGUAUUUAAAUAUCUAUAACUUUUAAGAAGGAACCAAAGUCAUUUGAAUCUCAUAGCAAAAGUUAUCCAAGGUGGAAAAAAUGGUCAUUUGACUUUUAACUUAGAAAAUUUUCAACUAUGUUUGAUUCCUCCAACUUCCACAUCAAAAUUCAUCAUGAUCCAAGUUCCAAAUGGACAAAAUUUCAACAUAAAAGUUAUUCCCCUUCAUGCUAGCUUUCCAAAGAGUCCAAGAUCAUGGCAUUUGGAUUAUUUUUUAGGGACUUGCGCAUGGGUGUAAUGCAUGGCCCUAUUUGGAAACAUUUGUGAUCAAUUUUCAACCAACAGUGCAUGGCCUCAUGUAUUGAUUUCAGCAUCACUUGUGCACGAUUUUGGACUCAUCUCAAUCAUUCUUUGGACCUUGUUGCAUGGCUAUGCAACCAUGCACAAGAGUUACUAUUUUUGAUAUAUUUUUGGAAGUGUAUGGAAAUGAAUCUUUAAACCUAUAAAUACAAGUCAUUUUGCUCAGAAUUAAGGACCCUUGGCCCAAGAUUUGAUUUGCAAUCUCUCCCACCCUCCAUUGAUAGAACACCUUCAGGAUUUCUCUUGAAAUCAAGUUUUAAUUCUCCUUCUGUUUUGGGAUUGAAACUCCAAGGGUUAAAGCUUUUUUUGCAUCCAAAUCAUCUCCUGCAAGUUGGUAGAAGCAAGGCAAAGUAAAUUGGAAGAGAGAUCGAGCUUCAUUAGUGCAAACAGAAGGUGAUUUUUAGAAACUUUCCUUCUUCGAUUCUCCCUCAACUCUCCAUCAUUUUACUUGAUUUUUGGUUGGCUGAUACCAAUGUAGGCAACAAGAUUGAGUUGCUUUUAGGUCAAAUCAAAGCAACUCAGUUCAUCCACCUCAUUUUUCAAUUACACAUAUCUCUCUAUAUAGUGAGAAUUGGAAGGAAAAAAAAGGUCAAAUUCGUGUUCUCCGUCAUUUUCUCUUUAAAUUGGUAUAUGGAAUCUCCAAUUUUGGUGAACUUUGGAGGUGGACCAGUCCGGUGAGGUCCAUCGGAGAAGAUGACCGGAGUUAGGGCUCUGGUGCUGCGCUGGAACUUCUCAGGUCAUCUGAUCCUUGCCUUGUGUUCUAAUCUUGGCCAUUGGUUUGAAUUACCAUGUUUGCAACGCGUUUGAGUUGAGUGCAUGGUGGACACCGCGCACGUGGCCAUCAGAUCUGUCACCUCAAUUAACGAGGGAGAUCUGAUGCCCCUUGUUUUUUCUCAUUUAUUUUAAUUUCUGGUUUUAUUUUUAAAUAGCCUUAUUUUGUUUAAUUCAUAAUAAAUUCAUUUUUAAUCGAAAAAAUAUGGGACUUUCACCAAAAAUCUUUAAAUAUUUUCCUUUUCCAUAUUUUGAAUCAAAAUCAUUGUUUGGAUUAAGUUUGAUAUUUUUUGUGAAUUAAAUGUUUUUUGACUUGUUUUUAAAUAUUUUUAAAUACUUCUGACUUUCCAAAAUUCUCAAUUUUUUUGUCUAAAGUCAUUUGAUCUUGUUUGACCUAGGAUAAAUCCAUUGGACAUUUAUUUGGUGAUAUGAAGGGAUUUGAGGUUUUUCCCUUUUUAAAAUGCUUUUUAUUCCAUUUUAAAUUGAUUUUUAAUUGUUUAAAUGUUUAAAAAUAUUGUUGAGCCAUUUGGUUGAUCUUGUGUUGUUUCAUCUUCUAUUUGGCUUUGAUCAUGGUUGAUUUGAACUUCCAUUUGAUUAAUACUAUUGGAUUUAGAGGGUUGAUGAACUGUACACUUCAUCCCUUAAGAUGAAUGGAUAAUAUUGAUUAGAUGAAAUUCCUCCCUUGAUCAAUUUGGGUUUCUAUUUCUCUUUCCCUCUUCAUCUUCAUCCCUCUUCUUCCUCAACCCUUCUAUGACCAAUGAUUUCUCUAUAAAUCAAAUGCUAGUUGAUUCAUCAAUGACCUUGUGUCAGAUGAAUCAACAUGAGCUUGACUGAGAUAGGUUCACCCCAUUUUAUUUUUGUGUGUCGUAUGCUUUUGGAGCUUGGUUCUUUGUACCAUGUCUCUAGCAUGCAUUAACAUCAAUAUAUUUAUUGCCCGGCAUUAGAUAGUUGUGACUUCUACAAAAGUCCAAUUACAACUGCUUAACAUAGAGCUAAAUUUUGACCCAAAGGCAUAGCAUUCUUGUAAGUGAGAUUGUAAGUCUCCCAUUCUUAAUGGCAUUGUGUGAAGACUUGACCUUUUUUCCAUUUAUGAGAGCUAGUGGCAUACUUGUUAAUUUAUCCAAGUUGGAGCUCUUCUCAUAGAUGAUGUCUUGGUUCAUGUCUUCAUACUUGGGAAUGGAUGGUUGGGUGUUCUCCAAAGAAUGACUUAAACAAUUGAAUCCUCCACUAACAUUUCUUUAUCAUUGUUUUAUCUUUAAUGUUAUUUACUUAAUUCAAUUUAAAUUUUAGUACCUUUAUCAUUCAUUGCCACUUACAUUUCAUGCAAGAUGUUUAUGUUUCAAUCAUCUUCAUUUUGCUCACUUGAGUCAUAUCUUUGUAAUUGUAUAUAUUGUGUGCUUGUGAUUUUGUUAUGGUUCUGGUCUUAGGACCUUAAAAUACCUAAUAACAAUAAAAACCCUAAAAAUUGUGUUGAUGGUCUGUUAGCCCUCUUCCUUUGACUUGAUCUGAACUUUUGGACUUAGAGUAGGCAACAUCCCCAUGCUUUGAAGGACUUGGCCAAUGCCAUUAUUUGAGACUGAGUUAUCUUGGCCAAUGCCAUUCAUCUGAGGAAAGCCUUGAGAUUUCCCUUGGUUUAUAUGUUACUCUGUCACUAUGCUUAAAUUGUUAUCUUGAUGUUAUUGUUUUUAUCUGAUGAUUGUUUCUAUGAGUUUGCCACGAGGAAUAUUUCAUCUGAUACAUUUGAAGACACUGAAGACUGCUCGCUUUUGGAAUGCUUGCUUGGAUUUUGUCUAUCUUUAUUUGAUGCCUUUUAUCUUCAUACUUAUUGAUCACAUGUUGCCUAUGCUUAUUGAUGCCAAAGGAAAUGGGUUUCUAUCUGACAUUCUUGUCUUGUGGAUUGCAUCUCAUUGGUCAGAUCUUUUCAACUCUAAACUUUUAAAUUUUUGUCUAGGAUAGUCUCUUCAUCUCCUUCUUUCCUUCUUAAAUUUUAAAAUCUCUCCCUCAUUUUAAAAACCGUCUUCGUUUGUGUUCUCAACUUAGACUUGUUUUAAUGAGUAGAAACUUUUUGCCUUAUGCCAUUGAUUUUCAAAACAUUUUCUUAAUCAAACUUGUAAAUAAACUUAAUCAUAUUGACUUAACUUUCAAAAAGACAAAAAGAACUAACAACUUCAUUUAAGUCUUUGGCCAUUUUGUGUCCUUUUCUUUUAAACUUUUGUUAAAAUUAAUCCACCAAUUUCUUUGAAAUUUUUACCACAAACUACGGGGUUUUGAUCCCUCAUUUUUAUGUUAGUACGUAGGCAUAAGACCGAAGGUCUUGUCAAACACAAAGGUAUAAUAAAUGAAUUCUUUUCUCAUCCCCCCAAUCUAUAUUUUAGCAAACAUUUUUUCAACCAAAAUACUUGCAUACAAAAAGGGCUCUCUAGGAGUACCUAGGGUACUUUGGAUGCUCAUACCUUCCCUCUAUAUAACCAACCCCCUUACUUGUAAUCUCUUACAUUUUUAUAGUUUUGAUCUGAAAACUUCUUAUCUUUAGGUUUUGUUCGUACUUUUCCCUUUUCCUUUGGAAACAAUAAAAGCGCGGUGGCGACUCUGAUUUUUUUGAGGUUGAGUUAUCCGUAGCUCAAUGGUCACGAAUACACCGCUAUACAAAGGUCUCAUCAAAAUCAACCCCUUCAAUUUGAGUGUAGCCUUGAUCAAUAAGCCUAGCCUUGUUUCGGGUCACAAUUCCAUUUUCAUCAGAUUUGUUCUUGUAAAUCCAUUUUGUGCCAAUAACGUUCAUCCCUUCAGACCUAGGAAAUAGGUCUCACACUUCAUUCCUUUUGAACUACCCUAGUUCUUCUUUCAUAGCAUUAAUCCAUAAUUCAUCAUUCAAGGCCUCCUUCACAUUUUUAGGUUCAAACUUUGAGACAAAACAAGCAUUGGACAUCACAUCUCUGGAUCUAGUGGUGAUCCCUUCAUUAAGAUUUCCAAUAAUAUGUUCCUUUGGAUGAUCUUUUUGAAUUCUGAUAGAGGCAACUUUGUUGGCUUGAGGGUUAUCUAAUUCAUUCAUUGUUGGCUCAAUGUUGGACUCAAUGUCUUCCAUAUUUUCUGAAGCAUUAGUUUGUUGAGAUGAUGUUCCAACAUCUUCAUUGAGAUCAGUCCCUUUCGCAAUAAUUGAAUAUCAACCACAACAUUGAUGGAUUCCAUCAUGACCUUGGUUCUGGAGUUAAAUAGUGUGUAAGCUAUGUUGUUUGUAUAGUAACCAAGAAAUAUCCCUUCAUCACUUUUGGAAUCCAUCUUUAUCCUUUGUUCACGAUCAACCAGAAUGUAGCAUUUACUCUCAAACACAUGAAAAUAUUUAACAAUAUGUUUCCUCCUUUCCAUAAUUUAUAGAGAGUGGAUGAUGUACCAGCUCUCAGAGUAACAUGAUUGUGGAUAUAGCAAGCAGUGUUCAUUGCUUCAGCCCUAAAAUUAUAAGGAAGAUUUUUUGCGUGAAGCAUGACUCUAGCUGAUUCUUGUAAUGUUUUGGUCUUGCGUUAUACAACUCCAUUUUGUUGAGGAAUGAUGGGAGAUGAGAACUCGUGACCAAUAACUUCAGAAGAACAAAAUUCAGACUCCUUGACAUGGUCACUUCCAAAGGUCUUUGAAUACCCCAAAAGUGACUGGUUUUUCUUUGAUAAAUUCACCUAAGUCAACCUUGAAAAAUCAUCGACAACCACAUACACAUACCUAUUUCCACCAAGACUUUCAACUAGCAUAAGCCCCCAUUAAGUCCAUAUGAAGAAGUUAUAAAACUUUUGAAGUAGUCUGAUGUUGCAACUUCGGGUGUGACAUCUUGGUUUGCUUCCCAAUUUGACACUCACCACAGACUUUACCCUCCUCAAUUUUGAGUUUUGGUAGAUCUCUAAUAGCUUCUUCAGACAUAAUUUUCUUCAUACCUUUGAGAUUCAUAUGUCCAAGCUUCUGGUGCCACAACUUGACUUCAUCUUCCCUAGACAUUAAACAUGUGGAAGAAGAAGUAGUUUCUUGAGGUACCCAUAAAUAGCAGUUGUCUUUAGGCCUAACUCCCCUCAUCAGAACUUCAUUUUUCUCAUUGGUAACCAAAUAUUUUGACUUGGUAAAAUUUACUUUUAGACCUUGAUCACCUAACUGGAUAAUGUUGAUCAAAUUAGCAGUUAAUCCUUUUACAAGAAGAAUAUCAUCAAGUCUAGGAAGUCCAAUACACACUAAAUUUCCUAUCCCUUUAAUUUCACAUUUACCUCCAUCACCAAAAGUAACAAAAUUGGUGGAAUAAGACUUAAUGUCCACUAAAUACUUCUUGACUCCUGUCAUAUGUCUAGAACAUCCAUUGUCAAAGUACCUGUCUUCGCUAGAUGAAGCUUUAAAAGAAGUGUGGGCUAUAAGACAAGUAUCAACAACCUUAGGUUUCCACUCCUUUCUAGUUUUAAUCAUCACAUGAUUAGCCAUAGGAUAUGUUGUAUGUUUUGGAUAACCAUAUAGUCUGUAACAUAAAGGCUUUAUAUGUCCAUAUUUACCACAGCAAUGACAUUUCCAAGGCAAAAACUUGACUUUAGUUUGAUUUUACUUAUGUCUGGUAGGAUGUUGUAACAUUUGGUCGGACAUCAUGGGCUCAUACUUCCUUUCUGGAGGAAUAAAUUUUGUCAUAAAGGUUUUUCCUUUCAGAUAUUGGUAAUCAAAACAUAUACCUUUUAAGUUUCCAUCACCUUUUCUAACUUGAAGAAUUUCAUGUAACAUAUCAGACCCAUUAUUCAACAUUUUUACUAAUUUGGUCAUAAUGUUAUCAAGUUUAGAAUUCAAUAGAGUUACCUCAUUUUCAAGAUCAGUGACAGUAGAUAAAAGUUUCUCUUCCGCUCUUCUCAUGUCUUACACACCUCUUCACUUCUGACAUAAAGCUCUUUGUAGGAAGCAGCCAAUUCUUCAUAAGUGAUAUCCUUAUCAUAGAAGUUUUCAUCAGGUUCAUAUUUACCAGUGAAGGCUGUAACAUGCUUAGCAGUUUCAUCAUCAGUUUCACCUUCAGAAUCAUCAUCAGACCAAGAAACAAAUAAGCUCUUCUUUUGUUUCUUGAGAUAUGUGGGACAUUAUGAUCUAAUGAGACCAAAACCCUCACAUCCAUGACACUAAAUAACUUUUCCUUGAUUGGGCUUUUCCUCUAUUCUUGCUUUUCUCUGAGAAUCACGGUUCUUAUUGAUGUCAAAUUGCAUCUUCUUGACAUUAGGUCUUGACUUCCUAUCCAUUUUCUUCAAUCCCUUAUUAAUUGCCUCCCAAGAAGCAUAGUGGAAUUAUAAAUUCCUUCAUCGGUCUCCAAGUCACAUUGAUCCUCUUCAUCCUCGGUGUUGGAGAAAAAAGUUAUGCUUUUGUUCUUCUUUUCAGAUCUAUCACUGAUAGCCAAUUCAAAAGUUUGAAGUGACCCAAUAAGCUCAUCCACUCUCAUGUUGCAAAUGUCUUGGGCUUCUUCAAUAGCUGUGACCUUUAUGCCAAACUUCUUAGGCAACGAUCUGAGAAUUUUUCUAACCAGCUUAUCCUUUGACAUCUUCUCUCCCAAGGCACUAGAUGAAUCGCCAAUGUCAAGAAUAUUCAUGUGAAAAUCAUGAAUGCACUCGUCAUCUUUCAUCCUGAGAUUUUCAAAUUUGUUAUCCGUAGAUUUUAGAAAAGUCACCAUACGCACCUUCUAGUAAUCAUAGUUGGUGUCAUCCAGAAUAGAUGGGUUGUUAACAAAUCCUUUUUCCUUGUCCAUAGUAACAGAAAAUAUCUUCCCUGGAGCUCACCCGAAACAAAACAAGGUGCAUGCUCUGAUGUAAAUUGAAAUUUUGGGACACAGAUAACAAAUGUCGUAUAUGAUGUCACGACACUAAGAUCAGGACAUUGUCACAACACAAACAAUUACAGUGUUAAAGUAAAUAGUAGGAAGUAAAUACCACAUGUCAAUUGUUAACCUAGUUCGUUGCAACGUCACCUGCAUCUGGGGGCAUCCAAGACAGGAAGGAAAUCCACUAUAAUAGUAUUAGUUUGAAGUUCUAAACAACCUCUGGUUGUACAAACUUCUCACCUAAUCACUACCCUUGGAAUUUCUAUCUAAGACUCCUAGAUAUGAGACCUUUUUCACUUCCCUUCGAUCACACAACAGUGAUAAUAACUUCCAAUAAUAAACAGAAGACACAUAUCCAAUAAAACAUAAUACACUCUUGCUUAAAAGCUCAUGAGUGAUUCACAAUUACAACUCAAAAACUCAAUCAAAUUCAAGCAUCUAAGUGAUACGAGAAUGACUCACAAAUAACAAUGAAAAAACUAAACCAUAACAGAGACUAUCACAUACGCAACUUAGUUGUUUUCUUAGGUUUAUAAUCGUCCUAUAAAUAGCCCCAAAAUAGCAUGGGCUCCGGGCUAAAUAAUCAGCAGAUCUAAAUUAGACUGUUGCACAAUCUUCUACAUAAUGAAAUCAAAUCAAAUCAAAUCGGAUGUCUCCUUAGAUGUUUUGUCAUCCUUUCUUGGGAAACAAGGCAAAGGUUAAACCGACAUUUGCUUCUAAAAUAAAUGCUUCUUGGACCACAAAAUAAGUGAAUCAAAUCUUCAAAGAAUCUUCACUAAUCUCAUGCUAAAAAAACAAAUCUUUCAAGAAUGUACAAACACAGCACGCCACGAUAUCGUACAAGUAUGUCAAGACAUCUUGUCCAACAUCUUGCUAUUUUACUUGUUUUAACAAAAUAUUGCCAAUCACAAUACAAACAACCUAAUAGACUUCAUAGAGUGUAUGCUAUAAGAGCAUACCUCUUAAAUUUGGUUGGCAUUGUGAUUUUUGUGGACAAGAGUGCCACUUGUGUGGAUGCCGUCUAUUUAUGAUACUUCGAGGAUUUUGAGGGGGUUCAUGAGUACAAUUGAGGGAUCAUUUGUUUAGUGUACUUAUAUUAUAAGUUAUCUGAAGGUUGAAGGUGGAAGAUAAAGCAAGUGACAAGCAGCAUCGCACUUUUGAAGGUAAUAUUUUUUUGUUUUUUAGUGUUUGUGUAUCAUUUUCAUUACAUUUUUACAACGCCCUUACUGAUGAUUCGUCUGUUCCAACAAUUUCCAGGCUUGGAUCCUCUAGCACGUCCCACGCAUCUCGGUUGGUUCUGUGUACCGACAUAUACUAAGGAUAUGUCGUGUGCGUCUACAUUUGCUCUGCUCAUAGGGAACUAGGAGAUAGAGUCGUUUCGAGGGUAUCUUGAUCACUUUGUAGCUAAGGAUAUGCACGUUAACAACUAUGUGAAUCACCGCGAGACGCAACCAUUUAACAACAUAGUGUUAUACUCUGGAUGGUUGACUUGCGGUUCACGUCUGACAUUUCCUCAUCUGCCUGAGUGCGUCAUGCGACAAUUCGGCUACAUCCACACUAUUCCUAGACACUCUUUUGUCUUUAUUCCUUCUGUUAUAACACAUAAAGAUAUGGAUGUCAUAUUUGAUUAUUAUCUUAGUCAUCUGAUACUGUAGGAGGCAUUAAGUACCAUAGCUGAGAGCGAUGUGGACGGGUACAUCAAUUGAUUCUUCAGAAUGUCGCGUUCAUAUAUGAUGCAGGUUGUUCCAGAAAAUCCACUGAGGUCAGCUCAUCAGAAGGUACUAGAGGAGGAGCAGGCAUAGUUAGAUCAUAUUCAUGAUAGAUGUCAUCACAUUGUGGAGAUUGCGCAGGAAUACAUUGACAGAUGUAUCUUUCCUUAUGGUUUUGAGAUGAAAGAGGUCCUAGAUGUCAUUAUGACGAAGGCACGAGAGACACUGAUGUACCGGAGACUGACAGUCGAAGAUCCCGAAGAGCUCUAGUCUAGCAUAUACUAUAGUUGAUAGUCCUUAUACUUUGAAUUUACUAUCGAUUGUAUUUUAUUUCGACUUUAUUGUGUAUUUCGACUUCAUUGUGUAUCGGCUUAGGACUUAUUUUGACCAUCUGGAUUUAUAAAUCUCAUUUUUUACAUAUCGAUAAUAUGGUUUAAUAUUCAUCACAUAACAGAUACCUUAACAUUUAUAAAUCAUCAUUUUUAUCUGAGUAACCAUAAAACUAAUUUAACUUACAAUGUUUUAAUAGGUUAUUGAGAUGCAUCACCGAAUCAAUAAAUAUUUAAAAUAGACCUUUUAAAAAUGAAUGCAUGGAAUAUUUUAAAACAUUUUAGAAAUGCAUCUAUAAAUAUUUUAACUUAAGAUAAUAUACUUCAUCCGUCUCAUAUUAUAAUAUAGAUCACCUGUCUCAUAUAUUAUAAUAUAGAUCAGAUACAUUAAUUAUUUAAUUAAUCUAAAAAAUAAAAUUUUCAUGAAAAUAUUUUACAACAUUUUAGAGAUGCAUCUAUAAACAUUUUGACUUAAGAUAACAUACUCCCUCCAUCUCAUAUUAUAAUAUAGAUCAGAAAAAAUAAAAUUUGCUAUAAUAUGGAAUAGAGGGAAUAUGUAUAGAAUAUUCAUCACAAAUUCCAUCUUAAAAUCUCUUCUUUACAAUAGCAACAGAUAAAAAAAUAUAUUUUAUAUAUACAAAAAAAUUAAUCUAUUAUUAAUUUAUUUGUAAAAUCGAAUACCGGGCAUAUCCUAUUUUCUCUAGUUAUAUUUUAUUCAUCCAAGUCCAUUAAUUAUAUUAUUUGGACGAAAUGUAUCCAUUUUUAUUUUUUAAAGUGGCAAUCGCACCAUGUCAUAUUACAUCUUAAAUUAUAUAUUUACCAAGAUCCUUAAAAAUUUCGACAGUAAACAAAUUGAGAAAAGAAUUAAAAGUACAAAUAAAAUCUAAUCACAUUGCCUGCAUUCUUGAUAAACUAUCUUUCGAAUUAACUGGCACCGCAAUAAUGCAUCAUCAAAUACACGUUAGAAAAAUGCUCAUAAAUUGACAGAUUAAAAAGAAAGAAUAAUUUAAAAUAAUUCCUACUACACUUUAACUAUUUCAAAAGUAAGAUAGGUAAGCACUGUUCACACACCGAAAGAAAUGAGAAAAACAUCAUUAAGGUCCUCACUCUUCCCUAUAAUCUGGAUUGUCCUUCAAUAUUACAAACCCUUCAAGAAUUGGCGAUAUGGGAAUAUAUCUGCAGAAAAACAACUGUUAGUAUGAAAAAGACAAGAAAGCUUGCUCUAAAAUUUUAUAAGGUAGUAGAAGAAUUACUUUUCUGUGGCUAGCUCUGCCCUAUCCCCAGCAGCCAAUAGAACAGGGGUGGAAUGGGUCUGAAAUCCAGUUAUCGUCUUAGGACGACCUGCCUGUCCAACAACGUCCACUGCUUGACCAACCCGAACAGGCACUGAAAGAGGCUUUAAGCUCUCAUCCACAGUUAACAACAUCCUCGGCUGUUGCAACAGAAUAUAAUUAAAACCAGCUUCAAAUGGGGGAAGAGAUAGAGGAAAUGAGACUCAAACAAACCUGCAUUGCCAAAACGAGGAAGUAGAGAACAUAGUGAUAUUUUCCCAACACAAUAGCUUUCAUAUCAAGGCAAGCAUGCAACAUAGUAAUUAGUCCGGCAAGUGCUGUCCUGUAAAAAUUGAAAGGCAAGUAAUGUCAAAUACAAAUAUUACAAUGAAACAUGUCAUUUGAAGUCACGACGUAAAUUAGGUUGCUGCUACAUGACAAAAAGGUUUUACUUAAGAGACAACAGAAGAUGGGAAAACUUACGGUGACAGUAAAGCCCGGUCAGAAUGAUAAGGAUUAAGUGUAAGAAGUCCCUUUCCCAAAUGUACAAGACCUUGGGCAAUUCGCACCUGUAGGGCAGAAAAGAAAAUCAGAGAUCAUUAAAACAACCAGAAUUAUAAAAUAAGGACAGCUAGCUUAUAGAUGAAACAUACACAAAAUAGAAGGCUGGUAUCCUUGUAGUAAUAGCUUGAAAGAUUGCGUAGCAUGCCAGCAAUUCGAGCAUUGUUUGUUCCGGCGCCUAUUAGACCCAAGGAGAUAACAGCUGCCUGUAGCAUACAAAAAAAUUUCUCAAAAAAAAUAAGAAUCAUAUCAUAGACAGCAAUGAUUUAAGAGGCUUUACCAUCUUACCAUUGCUACUUCUGAAUCAGUAUCAUGGCUAAGUCUGCUUAAGGUAUCCAUAACAUUGACCUGUAACAAUCAAUAAAAGAGUUAGCAAUCAGCAAAGUAAACAAACAUGAAACCUUGCUUAAGAUUGCAACCAGAGUUAGCAGUAUCGCGACAAAAACACACAAGUUAAAGUCUCAAAGUCAUGUUGGCUUGCUGACUCGGCAGUAAACUCGGUAAACUCAUCCGAGUUCAAGAAGCGAGUCGUUUCACUUUUCCAGCGGCGGCGUUUCAGUUUUCAAGAUGCUUUUUUCUAUAAAUAAACCCUAGUUAGGUGAAAACGGGUCUGGGUCGGGUCAUUUAAUAUUAAAUGCUGAUUUAUUAUAAUUUUUACAAAAUAGGAAUGUGUAAAGACACAUCAAACUUUCUCUUUUUCAAGAAAAAUGCAUAGUAUCAUAUCAUUGGAAUGGAAUAAACCAACCGUUACUGAAUUACUGCAACAUAAAUUCUUUCUCCCAUUACUUCUUCAUCGUAAACAUUCAAGCUUCCUCUUUCUCACUAACAAAUUAUUUAAACAGAAUCACUUCCUCUUUUCUCUUUCACAUUCAAGCUUCUUCUUCUUCCUCUUUUUCUAUGUUUUUUUUUUAUGAAUUUAUGGUAAUUAUCAUGAACUUAUGAAUUUAUGGUUAUGAAUGUGAACUUAUUUUGUAUUAUAUAGUAUGAUUUUUUAGAAUGUGUAUGUAAUUAUACAUACAAAAAUAUAUUUUCCACCAAUAGUAGGAUCUUACAAUCCGUGCUACGAUCCUCUACCAAUUCUGCGUAAACUCUUGAGUUUUUAAACAUUGAUUGCAACAGUUGUUUACCAUCUGUCAUCUUUUCAGAACAUGGUCAUAAUGUGCUCAACACUGAUAAAUAAUGAUACUAAGGUGAUAAAUAGUAGGUAGGCAAAUCUAUUUUACCUUUGGAUUUGAUAUGCACAACAGACCAAGUGCCAGAGGAACUGCUCGGCGAAUAUUCUGCUCUCCAUACUGUAGAAGAUGUUCUAACGAUCGAAUAGCCAUCUCAACACCUAAUUCUUCAGCCAUUGCUACCAUAGCAAUUCCAAGAACUGCCGGACCUUGGUGCAUUUCACCUUUGUCAAGAUGUUGUGAACAAUGACCCAAAAGAUUUUGCACCUGCAUGAAAUAAGCACCGGCAAUUAUAAACAUUAAAGGCUGCAGCAGAAAUCUUUUCAUUAAAAGGUUAAGUAUAUUAUAAGAGUAUACCUUGAGAACAUUCCCAGUUCCAGCAUAGGCACAUGACAGUAGUGUCAUGUCACAAUACUUCCUAAUUUUUUCAUUAAAAGUCUUUGAAACUUCAGCAGUUGCCUCCACAUUUUCCUGUUACAGAGCACAAUAUGGAGUAAAUAUUACAUGAGUGACUUUGACCCAACCUAAUAGAAAAACCCCUCCAACUAUUCAACGUUCUCAGAAACUAAAGAAAUAAGAUUACAAAUGCUUUGCAAAUGUAGAUAAGGCAAUCUAUAACACAUCUACAAAGGUCCAACUUUGACUUGGACCUUGCAUGGUGAGUUUUGUAGAACCAGGGUUCCUUUUAAAUGAACUAAAAAGACAAAAGGACAACAAAAGAGGCAAUUGAAACUGUCAAUCGAGAAAUACCUGCUUCCCAAGAUAAAGAAGACCAAGGCCGAGUGGUAGUAGUCGUGUAAGGGGCUCUCCUAACUCUGACUCACUCCGGUCCAUCAAUGUAAAUAUGAUUGCUUGAGCAACUUCCUCAUUGCAAGAACCCACAUAGAUCAAGCCCAAUGCAAUUGCCGUGAAAGCAAUCACAUCAAGUGAAGCUUUAGGAUCACUCAGAAUAGGUGCCAACUUGUAUCGUAGCUGAAAGAAG